This 2201-nucleotide ribosomal RNA is filed under the name Escherichia coli. RNAcentral describes it as "partial 23S ribosomal RNA". It matches the Rfam family "Bacterial large subunit ribosomal RNA", at positions 614 to 2798 of the family's 2925-position model. Lineage: Bacteria; Pseudomonadati; Pseudomonadota; Gammaproteobacteria; Enterobacterales; Enterobacteriaceae. The record is from RNAcentral.
AAUGGGUCAGCGACUUAUAUUCUGUAGCAAGGUUAACCGAAUAGGGGAGCCGAAGGGAAACCGAGUCUUAACUGGGCGUUAAGUUGCAGGGUAUAGACCCGAAACCCGGUGAUCUAGCCAUGGGCAGGUUGAAGGUUGGGUAACACUAACUGGAGGACCGAACCGACUAAUGUUGAAAAAUUAGCGGAUGACUUGUGGCUGGGGGUGAAAGGCCAAUCAAACCGGGAGAUAGCUGGUUCUCCCCGAAAGCUAUUUAGGUAGCGCCUCGUGAAUUCAUCUCCGGGGGUAGAGCACUGUUUCGGCAAGGGGGUCAUCCCGACUUACCAACCCGAUGCAAACUGCGAAUACCGGAGAAUGUUAUCACGGGAGACACACGGCGGGUGCUAACGUCCGUCGUGAAGAGGGAAACAACCCAGACCGCCAGCUAAGGUCCCAAAGUCAUGGUUAAGUGGGAAACGAUGUGGGAAGGCCCAGACAGCCAGGAUGUUGGCUUAGAAGCAGCCAUCAUUUAAAGAAAGCGUAAUAGCUCACUGGUCGAGUCGGCCUGCGCGGAAGAUGUAACGGGGCUAAACCAUGCACCGAAGCUGCGGCAGCGACGCUGAUGCGUUGUUGGGUAGGGGAGCGUUCUGUAAGCCUGUGAAGGUGUGCUGUGAGGCAUGCUGGAGGUAUCAGAAGUGCGAAUGCUGACAUAAGUAACGAUAAAGCGGGUGAAAAGCCCGCUCGCCGGAAGACCAAGGGUUCCUGUCCAACGUUAAUCGGGGCAGGGUGAGUCGACCCCUAAGGCGAGGCCGAAAGGCGUAGUCGAUGGGAAACAGGUUAAUAUUCCUGUACUUGGUGUUACUGCGAAGGGGGGACGGAGAAGGCUAUGUUGGCCGGGCGACGGUUGUCCCGGUUUAAGCGUGUAGGCUGGUUUUCCAGGCAAAUCCGGAAAAUCAAGGCUGAGGCGUGAUGACGAGGCACUACGGUGCUGAAGCAACAAAUGCCCUGCUUCCAGGAAAAGCCUCUAAGCAUCAGGUAACAUCAAAUCGUACCCCAAACCGACACAGGUGGUCAGGUAGAGAAUACCAAGGCGCUUGAGAGAACUCGGGUGAAGGAACUAGGCAAAAUGGUGCCGUAACUUCGGGAGAAGGCACGCUGAUAUGUAGGUGAAGUCCCUCGCGGAUGGAGCUGAAAUCAGUCGAAGAUACCAGCUGGCUGCAACUGUUUAUUAAAAACACAGCACUGUGCAAACACGAAAGUGGACGUAUACGGUGUGACGCCUGCCCGGUGCCGGAAGGUUAAUUGAUGGGGUUAGCCGCAAGGCGAAGCUCUUGAUCGAAGCCCCGGUAAACGGCGGCCGUAACUAUAACGGUCCUAAGGUAGCGAAAUUCCUUGUCGGGUAAGUUCCGACCUGCACGAAUGGCGUAAUGAUGGCCAGGCUGUCUCCACCCGAGACUCAGUGAAAUUGAACUCGCUGUGAAGAUGCAGUGUACCCGCGGCAAGACGGAAAGACCCCGUGAACCUUUACUAUAGCUUGACACUGAACAUUGAGCCUUGAUGUGUAGGAUAGGUGGGAGGCUUUGAAGUGUGGACGCCAGUCUGCAUGGAGCCGACCUUGAAAUACCACCCUUUAAUGUUUGAUGUUCUAACGUUGACCCGUAAUCCGGGUUGCGGACAGUGUCUGGUGGGUAGUUUGACUGGGGCGGUCUCCUCCUAAAGAGUAACGGAGGAGCACGAAGGUUGGCUAAUCCUGGUCGGACAUCAGGAGGUUAGUGCAAUGGCAUAAGCCAGCUUGACUGCGAGCGUGACGGCGCGAGCAGGUGCGAAAGCAGGUCAUAGUGAUCCGGUGGUUCUGAAUGGAAGGGCCAUCGCUCAACGGAUAAAAGGUACUCCGGGGAUAACAGGCUGAUACCGCCCAAGAGUUCAUAUCGACGGCGGUGUUUGGCACCUCGAUGUCGGCUCAUCACAUCCUGGGGCUGAAGUAGGUCCCAAGGGUAUGGCUGUUCGCCAUUUAAAGUGGUACGCGAGCUGGGUUUAGAACGUCGUGAGACAGUUCGGUCCCUAUCUGCCGUGGGCGCUGGAGAACUGAGGGGGGCUGCUCCUAGUACGAGAGGACCGGAGUGGACGCAUCACUGGUGUUCGGGUUGUCAUGCCAAUGGCACUGCCCGGUAGCUAAAUGCGGAAGAGAUAAGUGCUGAAAGCAUCUAAGCACGAAACUUGCC